RNAcentral lists this ribosomal RNA (1050 nucleotides) under uncultured Macrococcus sp. RNAcentral describes it as "bacterial SSU rRNA". It matches the Rfam family "Bacterial small subunit ribosomal RNA", at positions 57 to 1091 of the family's 1533-position model. Lineage: Bacteria; Bacillati; Bacillota; Bacilli; Caryophanales; Staphylococcaceae. The record is from RNAcentral.
GCAAGUCGAGCGACGGACGAGAGUGCUUGCACUCUCUGAUGUUAGCGGCGGCCGGGUGAGUAACACGUGGGUAACCUACCUAUAAGACUGGGAUAACUUCGGGAAACCGGAGCUAAUACCGGAUAAUAUUUAGCUUCGCAUGAAGCAAUAGUGAAAGACGGUUCUGCUGUCACUUAUAGAUGGACCCGCGGUGUAUUAGCUAGUUGGUGAGGUAACGGCUCACCAAGGCGACGAUACAUAGCCGACCUGAGAGGGUGAUCGGCCACACUGGGACUGAGACACGGCCCAGACUCCUACGGGAGGCAGCAGUAGGGAAUCUUCCGCAAUGGACGAAAGUCUGACGGAGCAACGCCGCGUGAGUGAAGAAGGUUUUCGGAUCGUAAAACUCUGUUGUAAGGGAAGAACAAGUACGUUAGUAACUGAACGUACCUUGACGGUACCUUACCAGAAAGCCACGGCUAACUACGUGCCAGCAGCCGCGGUAAUACGUAGGUGGCAAGCGUUAUCCGGAAUUAUUGGGCGUAAAGCGCGCGUAGGCGGUCUCUUAAGUCUGAUGUGAAAGCCCCCGGCUCAACCGGGGAGGGUCAUUGGAAACUGGGAGACUUGAGUGCAGAAGAGGAGAGUGGAAUUCCAUGUGUAGCGGUGAAAUGCGCAGAGAUAUGGAGGAACACCAGUGGCGAAGGCGGCUCUCUGGUCUGUAACUGACGCUGAGGUGCGAAAGCGUGGGGAUCAAACAGGAUUAGAUACCCUGGUAGUCCACGCCGUAAACGAUGAGUGCUAAGUGUUGGGGGGGUUUCCGCCCCUCAGUGCUGCAGCUAACGCAUUAAGCACUCCGCCUGGGGAGUACGGUCGCAAGACUGAAACUCAAAGGAAUUUGACGGGGACCCGCACAAGCGGUGGGAGCAUGUGGUUUAAAUUCAAGCAAACGCCAAGAACCUUACCAAUCUUGACAUCCUUUGACAACUCUAGAGAUAGAGCUUCCCUUCGGGGACAAGUGACAGUGGUGCAUGGUUGUCGUCAGCUCGUGCCUGAGAUGUAGGUAAGUCCGCA